RNAcentral lists this long non-coding RNA (995 nucleotides) under Olea europaea (common olive). RNAcentral's name for it is "long non-coding RNA (OEUR_LNC009044)". Lineage: Eukaryota; Viridiplantae; Streptophyta; Magnoliopsida; Lamiales; Oleaceae. The record is from RNAcentral.
CUAACUCCUUUGUGCCAAGAACUCUCCCAAUCCAGAAAUUAAUCACUCCAACAAUGACGAAGAAGGCCAAAAUCGGAAGUAAUCUCUUGUUUUUUGGAACGGACGACGUGUUGUGAAGGUAAAAAUUUCUUCUUUCUGGUUACCGACAUGAGCUUGAGUGACGAAUUGAAAUGGUUUGACAGGGAGUAGUGGUGCGAGGGAAGAUUUUGGGGAAAAAUAUUUGUUUCUUCCGUCUACCAAUUUCACCUUGUUUCACUCUUCUUCCAUUUCCAUUUAUUUGUUGCUUGCUUAUGUAAAUGGAGAUGAAUAUGAAUUUAUCUGACAAACAAUGUUUUUUGUUUCCUCACUGUUAAAUGGAGACAAGUAUGGAUUUAGGAAAUUGGGCACACUGUCAUGUAUCUAUCUUCACGAAGCCUGUGCCUUUCUUCAUUAUGUUCCAUUAUUCACUUCAAUUGAUUCAUUUUUGAUAGGUCACUUCAAUUGAUUCAUAAUGUUGUAAAAGUAGAAAUAUAUAUCCUGCAACCAUAUGCUGCAUAAUUUGGUGAGGGAGAGAUUAUAAUAUCUUGUACUGUUUGUUGAGACGAUGCUAGUAGUUAAAAUGUUCAUUGCAGGAUUCUGUAAUGCCUGUGUACUUGGAAUAUUCCUGGAAGAGACUUGAUUUGUAGAAAUUGCAGUAAAUGUUGUUUAAUUUUCUCAUGUUUGUCAUUUUUCUCCUUACCUGGUUUGAAGCAUAUUGCAAUGGGAGGAAGGAGCUAAGGGAUGUGCGAUGGUUGCCGAAAGACGGGCCACUACUUGUUGAAUUGCCCGACGAAAAAAGCAUGUCCAGUAUGCGGCAAAGGAAUUCAAAAAUGCAUGGAGGUUGAAAAGAGGACUGAAAACUUAGGGCGGCUAUUCUUUUGCUGUACUAACGAUUGCAAUUAUUUCAAGUGGCUUGACGCGGACGAAUAUUGUGAAUAUGAGGGUCAAUCAAGCGGCACAUCGAAAAUUGAUGAGUU